CAGUGGCGAACGGGUGAGUAACGCGUAAGUAACCUGCCCCUAAGUGGGGGAUAACUUCGGGAAACUGGAGCUAAUACCGCAUGUGGUCCUUCUGCAAAAGCGGAAGGAUUAAAGCCUUCGGGUGCUUGGGGAGUGGCUUGCGUCCGAUUAGCUUGUUGGUGAGGUAACGGCCCACCAAGGCAAUGAUCGGUAGCUGGUCUGAGAGGAUGGCCAGCCACACUGGGACUGAGACACGGCCCAGACUCCUACGGGAGGCAGCAGCAAGGAAUAUUGUGCAAUGGGCGAAAGCCUGACACAGCGACACCGCGUGGGGGAUGAAGGCCUUCGGGUUGUAAACUCCUUUUCUCAGGGAAGAACAAUGACGGUACCUGAGGAAUAAGUCUCGGCUAACUACGUGCCAGCAGCCGCGGUAAUACGUAGGAGGCAAGCGUUAUCCGGAUUUAUUGGGCGUAAAGCGCGUGUAGGUGGCUCUUCAAGUCGGAUGAAAAAUCUCCCGGCUCAACUGGGAGGGACCAUUCGAUACUGCUGGGCUAGAGUACAGCAGAGGGAGGUGGAAUUCCCGGUGUAGUGGUGAAAUGCGUAGAUAUCGGGGGGAACACCAGUGGCGAAGGCGACCUCCUGGGCUGCAACUGACACUGAGACGCGAAAGCGUGGGGAGUGAACAGGAUUAGAUACCCUGGUAGUCCACGCUGUAAACGAUGGACACUAGGUAUGGGGAGUAUCGACCCUCUCCGUGCCGAAGCUAACGCAUUAAGUGUCCCGCCUGGGGACUACGGCCGC
This 780-nucleotide ribosomal RNA is filed under the name uncultured bacterium. Its description in RNAcentral is "bacterial SSU rRNA". It matches the Rfam family "Bacterial small subunit ribosomal RNA", at positions 93 to 889 of the family's 1533-position model. The record is from RNAcentral.